Molecule: long non-coding RNA, 1029 nt
Filed under: Marmota monax (woodchuck)
Lineage: Eukaryota; Metazoa; Chordata; Mammalia; Rodentia; Sciuridae
Source: RNAcentral
AUUGAUUUUAGGUUAUAGCUCUCAUUCUCCCACUUCACCUCUGAACAUUACUGUAUUAACACAGGAAACUUUUGGGGGACACUUCAUAUCCAAACCAUGACAUACAAUGAUGAUGUUAAAAGUUGAGUCAGAAGCUUUGCCUAGGAACUUCCAGCGGCGUUCCUCAUACAGGGAAGAGUAAAGACCUAACGAUAGCCUCCAAAGCCCUGUGUGACGGGAUCUCUCUAGCCGUUGGGGUUCUCUUUUAUGUCACUCGUGUCCUCACUCAUUCCACCUCAGCUAUGCUGAUCGAUUGCCUGCUUCUCAAACUUGCCAGGAACAUUCCUAACUUAGGAUCUAUUCACUUCCUCUUUUCCUUAAAUGCCUUUUCCCCAGAUUUGGUUCUCUUGUUCAUUUCCUUCAGAUCUUUCCACCAUGUCAUCUCACCAUGUCCUUCUUUGGCUGCUGUACUCAAAAUUGGACCCUCUCUAAACUCUUUCUAACUCUUCUUUCCUGGUUGAAUUUUUUUCCUGUGAGAACUUAUUUAAAACACAUUAUAAUGUGUACUUAUUUAUCUUCCUUAACUUCCUGAAGUACAAACUCCAUGAGGGCAGGAAUUCUCUUCCCUUGGAUUCUUUCCUAGUCCCCCCAAGGCCCACAGCUAUGCUUGAUACAUGGAGCUGCUUAAUCAUUGUUACUAAAUGAACGAAAGAACGAUAUUCUCCACCUCACUCCCAUGGCACCCUGCUUCAACCUUUUCCUCACUUCUAUCUAAUUUUAGCAUAGAACCCAUAGAAUGUUCAAAUCAGUUUUGUUUUGCUGUAACCAAAAUACCUGACAAGAACAACUUCAGGAGGAAUAGUAUAUAUUGGUUCAUGAUUCUAGAGGUUAAUGCAUAAUCAGCUGAGUUCAUUGCUCUGGGCCCCAGAUGAGGCAGAAGAGCAGGGUGGAAGAGAUGGGGGAGGAGGAUGGCUCCAUUGAUGGCAGCCAGGAGACUCUGGCAGAAGCAUAAAAGAAAGGACCAACACUGGACUAAAUCCCCGGGAUUGG